Molecule: ribosomal RNA, 1099 nt
Filed under: uncultured organism
Description: bacterial SSU rRNA
Rfam family: Bacterial small subunit ribosomal RNA
Source: RNAcentral
AACCUUCCCCCAAGUUCGGGAUAACCUUGCCAACGCGGGGCUAAUACCGGAUGUGGUGCGAGCAAUGCAUGUUGUUCGCUCUAAAGGUGACCUCUUCUUGAAAGUUGUCGUUUGGGGAUGGUCUUGCGGACCAUUAGCUUGUUGGCGGGGUAACGGCCCACCAAGGCAACGAUGGUUACCCGGCCUGAGAGGGCGAUCGGCCACAUUGGGACUGAGAUACGGCCCAGACUCCUACGGGAGGCAGCAGUAGGGAAUUUUGCGCAAUGGACGAAAGUCUGACGCAGCAACGCCGCGUGAGGGAUGACGGCUUUCGGGUUGUAAACCUCUGUUGAGCGGGAAGAAACGUCAGGUGGCUAAUAUCCACUUGGGCUGACGGUACCGCUCGAGGAAGCCCCGGCCAAAUACGUGCCAGCAGCCGCGGUAACACGUAUGGGGCAAGCGUUGUUCGGAAUCACUGGGCGUAAAGGGAGCGUAGGCGGAGUGGCAAGUCAGAAGUGUAAUCCUCGAGCUCAACUCGAGGCUUGCUUUUGAAACUGCUUCUCUUGAGUUAUGUAUAGGGAGACGGAAUUCCAGGUGUAGCGGUGGAAUGCGUAGAUAUCUGGAAGAACACCCGUAGCGAAGGCGGUCUCCUGGCCAUAUACUGACGCUGAGGCUCGAAAGCGUGGGGAGCAAACAGGAUUAGAUACCCUGGUAGUCUACGCCGUAAACGAUGGACACUAGAUGUUGGGGGCUUUAUGCCUUCGUUGUCGUAGCUUACGCGAUAAGUGUUCCGCCUUGGGAGUACGCUCGCAAGGGUGAAACUCUAAGGAAUUGACGGGGGGCCCGCACACGCGGUGGAGCAUGCGCUUUAAUUCGAUGCCACGCGAAGAACCUUACCUGGGCUUGACAUUGGAGUGAAACUUCCCAGAGAUGGGGAGCCUUCCUUCGGGAACACUCUACACAGGUGCUGCAUGGCUGUCGUCAGCUCGUGUCGUGAGAUGUUGGGUUAAGUCCCGCAACGAGCGCAACCCUCGCCCUUAGUUGCCAUCAGGUAAUGCUGGGAACUCUAGUGAGACUGCCUGGUCCAACCAGGAGGAAGGUGGGGAUGACGUCAAAUCCU